RNAcentral lists this ribosomal RNA (253 nucleotides) under uncultured bacterium. RNAcentral's name for it is "partial 16S ribosomal RNA". It matches the Rfam family "Bacterial small subunit ribosomal RNA", at positions 524 to 776 of the family's 1533-position model. The record is from RNAcentral.
UACGUAGGGGGCAAGCGUUGUCCGGAAUCAUUGGGCGUAAAGCGCGUGUAGGCGGCCCGAUAAGUCCGCUGUGAAAGUCCAGGGCUCAACCCUGGGAUGCCGGUGGAUACUGUCGGGCUCGAGUCCGGAAGAGGCGAGUGGAAUUCCUGGUGUAGCGGUGAAAUGCGCAGAUAUCAGGAGGAACACCGAUUGCGAAGGCAGCUCGCUGGGACGUAACCGACGCUGAGACGCGAAAGCGUGGGGAGCAAACAGG